This 257-nucleotide long non-coding RNA is filed under the name Urocitellus parryii (Arctic ground squirrel). Its description in RNAcentral is "lncRNA (ENSUPAG00010020993.1)". The record is from RNAcentral. Lineage: Eukaryota; Metazoa; Chordata; Mammalia; Rodentia; Sciuridae.
CUCGCCGCUUGUGGUCUGGGAGUCUGUGAGCCGAAGGCCGACCUCUAGCUGCCAGCCGCGGGUGGUCUCGGGAGGUGGCAGCAAGCAGGGUCCCGCAUUCGGGAGGCGACUGCGCCCAUCGGGCCUCAGAGGACGGAAACACGCUUUCUUCGUUCCCCACUGUGCAAACGCUCUGGGCUAACUCACAUAACCUUUUGGUAUAGCACAAUGAAUUCAAGGGACCAGCAGUAACAUAAAAUAGGAGGACCAUUAGUCAA